UGCGCAUGAAGGAGGAAGCGAGCAGGAGAACCCACACGUCUGAUUUUUGGCCAUGCUAUUUUUAAGUGGACUCCAAUAAUUAGAGCGGAAGAGGGGCAGAACUGACAGAGCCGAUGGAGGGAGUGUGACGAUGGAAGGGAAACAGGCAAAGUAAUCCAAUGGGGAAACAGAGUCCAGGGAGCAACGUGCAGGAGACGGUGACCGGUGUAGCGGAGUGCGUCAUUUGGCAUGGAGGAAGUGGCAAUGAACCAGCAUUGGAGUGGAGGAGAGAAUCAGGCUUUACGCUGUACUGAUUACUGAUUUGCGCGGGCUGUGCUGAUUAGCCAGCACACCAGAGCAGGAGGGGCGUGACAAUAUGUAAUAAAAGGAAGACCAGAUAAUAUUCUAUAAAUUUCAUUUCUCCAUUUGGUAUUAAUGGUAUUCUGCAUUUCUUCAAUAACAAUUCUACAGCAUAAAUUGUUAGGCUGACAGCUGCCAGCUCUGGUUAGUGCUCUCUCUCUCUCCUCCUCUCUCUUUUCUUUUGUUUCAGACUCCUGUGACUGAUUGCUGCGGCAGGUGUCCCUCGUUAAUUAUCAGGAGCAGGUGGAGGCGUGUGUGAAUCACUUGUGUCUGUUGGCUAUUUAAGGAGACGCCACACGCUGUUCUGUGCUGGAUCGUGACACUACCUGCCUGGACACUGACAUCUGUUUCCACCUUUCACCAACCUGCAGUCGACAACCCUCCGGACUUCCCUGCCGGCCGUGCCAGAACCCAGUCUGAGCAUCCAAUUGAGUAUCUUGUGGUAGAGUUCGUUGUGAGUUAGUUGGCGUUACAUUAGUUCAGCCUAGCCGUAUUUAGACACUUUAACUUUCACUUUGAGUGUUUGUUGUUCAGUAGUUAAUGUUAAAGAAUCGUUGGUUAUAGGAAGUGCUGUUUUUCAGUAUCACCUGCGUUAAACUCAGCUUUCUGUGUUUCGAGCGUCAGUUAUACCUUCAAUCAAUGACAGCAGUGUAAAUAGUGUUUAGUGCAGAGUUCCGGUUGUAGUUCCCAGUCCAAAUUUGUAGUUUUUUCUGAGAACCUUUUGCAAUAAAUCUUUAAACACA
Long non-coding RNA from Acanthochromis polyacanthus (spiny chromis), 1082 nucleotides. RefSeq lists it as uncharacterized. Lineage: Eukaryota; Metazoa; Chordata; Actinopteri; Pomacentridae. The transcript is spliced from 2 exons. The record is from RefSeq and is a predicted model, not a curated record.